UAGGGAAUAUUGGGCAAUGGCCGAGAGGCUGACCCAGCCAUGCCGCGUGCAGGAAGAAGGCCUUCUGGGUUGUAAACUGCUUUUAUCUAGGAAGAAAACGCCCUUGCGAGGGUAACUGACGGUACUAGAUGAAUAAGCACCGGCUAACUCCGUGCCAGCAGCCGCGGUAAUACGGAGGGUGCAAGCGUUGUCCGGAUUUAUUGGGUUUAAAGGGUGCGUAGGCGGCCCGUUAAGUCAGUGGUGAAAUCCCAGGGCUCAACCCUGGAACUGCCAUUGAUACUGACGGGCUUGAGUUCGGUUAAGGCGGGCGGAACUGGUGGUGUAGCGGUGAAAUGCAUAGAUACCACCAAGAACCCCGAUUGCGUAGGCAGCUCGCUGAGCCGAAACUGACGCUGAGGCACGAAAGCGUGGGGAGCGAACA
Molecule: ribosomal RNA, 421 nt
Filed under: uncultured Pontibacter sp.
Lineage: Bacteria; Pseudomonadati; Bacteroidota; Cytophagia; Cytophagales; Hymenobacteraceae
Description: bacterial SSU rRNA
Rfam family: Bacterial small subunit ribosomal RNA
Source: RNAcentral